AAUCUACCUCAAAGUGGGGGACAACUUAGGGAAACUUAAGCUAAUACCGCAUACGCCCUACGGGGGAAAGCGGGGGACCUUCGGGCCUCGCGCUAUGAGAUGAGCCUGCGUUGGAUUAGCUAGUUGGUGGGGUAAAGGCCUACCAAGGCGACGAUCCAUAGCUGGUCUGAGAGGACGAUCAGCCACACUGGGACUGAGACACGGCCCAGACUCCUACGGGAGGCAGCAGUGGGGAAUAUUGGACAAUGGGCGGAAGCCUGAUCCAGCAAUACCGCGUGUGUGAAGAAGGCCUGAGGGUUGUAAAGCACUUUCAAUUGGGAGGAAUACCUAUCCAUUAAUACUGGGUAGCCUGACAUUACCUUUAGAAGAAGCACCGGCUAACUCCGUGCCAGCAGCCGCGGUAAUACGGAGGGUGCGAGCGUUAAUCGGAACUACUGGGCGUAAAGCGUGCGUAGGUGGCCUGUUAAGUCAGAUGUGAAAGCCCCGGGCUUAACCUGGGAACUGCAUUUGAAACUGGCAGGCUAGAGUUUAAUAGAGGGGAGUGGAAUUACAGGUGUAGCGGUGAAAUGCGUAGAGAUCUGAAGGAACACCAGUGGCGAAGGCGACUCCCUGGAUUAAAACUGACGCUGAGGUACGAAAGCGUGGGUAGCAAACAGGAUUAGAU
This 664-nucleotide ribosomal RNA is filed under the name uncultured bacterium. RNAcentral describes it as "bacterial SSU rRNA". It matches the Rfam family "Bacterial small subunit ribosomal RNA", at positions 123 to 783 of the family's 1533-position model. The record is from RNAcentral.